AGUCGAACGAUGAACCAGGAGCUUGCUCUUGGGGAUUAGUGGCGAACGGGUGAGUAACACGUGAGUAACCUGCCCUUGACUCUGGGAUAAGCGUUGGAAACGACGUCUAAUACCGGAUACGAGCUUCCACCGCAUGGUGAGUUGCUGGAAAGAAUUUUGGUCAAGGAUGGACUCGCGGCCUAUCAGCUUGUUGGUGAGGUAACGGCUCACCAAGGCGACGACGGGUAGCCGGCCUGAGAGGGUGACCGGCCACACUGGGACUGAGACACGGCCCAGACUCCUACGGGAGGCAGCAGUGGGGAAUAUUGCACAAUGGGCGAAAGCCUGAUGCAGCAACGCCGCGUGAGGGACGACGGCCUUCGGGUUGUAAACCUCUUUUAGCAGGGAAGAAGCGAAAGUGACGGUACCUGCAGAAAAAGCACCGGCUAACUACGUGCCAGCAGCCGCGGUAAUACGUAGGGUGCAAGCGUUGUCCGGAAUUAUUGGGCGUAAAGAGCUCGUAGGCGGUUUGUCGCGUCUGCUGUGAAAUCCCGAGGCUCAACCUCGGGUCUGCAGUGGGUACGGGCAGACUAGAGUGCGGUAGGGGAGAUUGGAAUUCCUGGUGUAGCGGUGGAAUGCGCAGAUAUCAGGAGGAACACCGAUGGCGAAGGCAGAUCUCUGGGCCGCUACUGACGCUGAGGAGCGAAAGGGUGGGGAGCAAACAGGCUUAGAUACCCUGGUAGUCCACCCCGUAAACGUUGGGCGCUAGAUGUGGGGACCAUUCCACGGUUUCCGUGUCGUAGCUAACGCAUUAAGCGCCCCGCCUGGGGAGUACGG
This 816-nucleotide ribosomal RNA is filed under the name Microbacteriaceae bacterium ACEMC 25-10. Its description in RNAcentral is "bacterial SSU rRNA". It matches the Rfam family "Bacterial small subunit ribosomal RNA", at positions 60 to 885 of the family's 1533-position model. The record is from RNAcentral. Lineage: Bacteria; Bacillati; Actinomycetota; Actinomycetes; Micrococcales; Microbacteriaceae.